AACGAACGCUGGCGGCAUGCCUAACACAUGCGAGUCGAACGAGAUCUUCGGAUCUAGUGGCGCACGGGUGCGUAACGCGUGGGAAUCUGCCCCUUGCUUCGGAAUAACAGUGAGAAAUUACUGCUAAUACCGGAUGAUGUCUCCGGACCAAAGAUUUAUCGGCAAGGGAUGAGCCCGCGUAGGAUUAGGUAGUUGGUGGGGUAAUGGCCUACCAAGCCGACGAUCCUUAGCUGGUCUGAGAGGAUGAUCAGCCACACUGGGACUGAGACACGGCCCAGACUCCUACGGGAGGCAGCAGUGGGGAAUAUUGGACAAUGGGCGAAAGCCUGAUCCAGCAAUGCCGCGUGAGUGAUGAAGGCCUUAGGGUUGUAAAGCUCUUUUACCAGGGAUGAUAAUGACAGUACCUGGAGAAUAAGCUCCGGCUAACUCCGUG
Molecule: ribosomal RNA, 433 nt
Filed under: uncultured bacterium
Lineage: Bacteria
Description: partial 16S ribosomal RNA
Rfam family: Bacterial small subunit ribosomal RNA
Source: RNAcentral